UACAGAGGUGGCGAGCGUUGUUCGGAUUUAUUGGGCGUAAAGGGUGCGUAGGUGGUAAGGUAAGUUGGAUGUGGAAUUCCACAGCUCAACUGGGGAAUGGCAUCCAAAACUACCUUACUUGAGGAUCUGGGAAGAGAGUGGAAUUCUCGGUGUAGCGGUGAAAUGCGUAGAUAUCGAGAAGAACACCAGUGGCGAAGGCGAGUCUCUGGACAACUCCUGACGCUGAGGCACGAAAGCUAGGGGAGCAAACAGGAUUAGAAACCCGGGUAGU
Molecule: ribosomal RNA, 271 nt
Filed under: uncultured bacterium
Lineage: Bacteria
Description: partial 16S ribosomal RNA
Rfam family: Bacterial small subunit ribosomal RNA
Source: RNAcentral